Molecule: long non-coding RNA, 1038 nt
Organism: Folsomia candida
Lineage: Eukaryota; Metazoa; Arthropoda; Collembola; Entomobryomorpha; Isotomidae
Exons: 2
Source: RefSeq, a predicted model, not a curated record
UAACGCUUUUUCCACCUAUUGUGUGCAAUCGAGCCCUAACCCGGAUUCUCAGAAUAUGGAACUCUCGGUCCAAACUCCUCCACACAUUCGAGAACGCGGAUUUGUUUCUGACCACCUUAUGGUUUGCUGCCCCAACUGUUAUCAUAAAUUUGACAGUUACCACAACGAAAUAAAGAACCACUUGGCUAGCCCAUCAACAACCCAAGCUUUUCAAUCCAACGUGACCUACAGUACAUAAAUUUUAACACCCUGAAAGGCUAACAAUGACACUCUGACGUCCCCACCAAGCACACCAAAACGACAAGUAAAACCAACGGUUGCCAGAGAAUUAUUUAGCUCCGCCGUCCCACGGCCAGCUAAGGUUUACUCGAACCCAGAGUCCCAAGAAACCCUUACUAUAAAGCUCGUGCAGUUUUUUAAGGAUCAGGGUUUACUUUUAUGGUAAACGAAAAUUGUAAAAUAAACCUCAAAUUCGCCAACGUUUAAGUAAACACAUUCUAUUUAAUGGGGACUGAUUGUUUUAGAUAUUCGUGAAUUGUAUUAACGUUUAUUGUUAAAAAUGAUAGUUCUGUCAAGUAUUGAAUUUAUGUGGCUUUAGGUUGUACAAAACUUGAACUUAACAAUACUUAUUUCCAACCCCGCAGCACCUUUGAAUAUUCCUAAAUUCUUUAUAAUAACUAAUUACUCGGAUAGAGGCACCAAAUUCUACAUAAAGCACUAAGUAAUCGGGCACAAGCACCAAAUCCUAUAGAAGCACUAUGUAUUCGUACACCAGACACCAAAUCGUGGCAUGAGGCAACAUCCCGCAUAAUCCCUCCCCAUUCUGUCUCGCUCUCCUACCCAUACAAUUCCAAUCCCUAUAGUAUUUACAUUCAUGUCUUCACCCCGUCUUAAAGCAUCGAAUCGUAAAUUUGGAAAGGAGAACCGCUGAAGUAUAUUGUAAACAUUGAUUUGAAAAUUGCGGUAAUGAGUGAAUUAAGUGAGGAAGAUGAGAAGGAAACUCAUUGAAUUUUGAAAAGCCAAUUGAACCAAGAAUGA